RNAcentral lists this transfer RNA (72 nucleotides) under Xenopus laevis (African clawed frog). It matches the Rfam family "tRNA". From Rfam's summary of the family: Transfer RNA (tRNA) molecules are approximately 80 nucleotides in length. Their secondary structure includes four short double-helical elements and three loops (D, anti-codon, and T loops). Further hydrogen bonds mediate the characteristic L-shaped molecular structure. tRNAs have two regions of fundamental functional importance: the anti-codon, which is responsible for specific mRNA codon recognition, and the 3' end, to which the tRNAs corresponding amino acid is attached (by aminoacyl-tRNA synthetases). tRNAs cope with the degeneracy of the genetic code in two manners: having more than one tRNA (with a specific anti-codon) for a particular amino acid; and 'wobble' base-pairing, i.e. permitting non-standard base-pairing at the 3rd anti-codon position. The record is from Rfam by way of RNAcentral. Lineage: Eukaryota; Metazoa; Chordata; Amphibia; Anura; Pipidae.
GACCACAUGGCUGAAUGGAUAAGGCGUCUGACUUGGAUGAGAAGAUUGAGGGUUCGAGUCCCUUUGUGGUUG